AAGACUGAAGUCUCAAUUUUUGCUUGUUGACACAAAAUUAUACAAAGUUCUAUACCUCAGAGGAGGAACUUGAAGAACAGUAAAGGAAAAUACCAGACGCCGAACUGCCUCUUGUAUUGACAAACAAAGCUAUCACGAGAGAGACUGCUUAUGACUUCAUUACAAAUGGAAAACAAGACCCCAAAGUUCCUCUUUUCAAAGCAGAUGUGCAUACCGAAUUAUCAACACCCGCGACAGCCCUCUCUCUAAACGAAAUUUCAAACAACUCAAGAACAACUACACUUCAACAUUGCUGCGGUUAAUCAAGGCUACAGAAAUCAUCUACUGACGAACACCACCGACAAAGGAUGCAGGGAAACGAAAGUGACGACAACUUGCUGGGCAUAAUAAAACGUGGUAAAUUUGAGGAAAUUGAGAGUGAAAUCAAGCCAACGGCCUUCAAAUAUUGUGAAUCCAAUUCCUUGCUAAUGGCUAUGAAGGUAAACUUUGAACUUCGUAGGCGGGCAAACCAGAAGGGACCCGAUGAAAAAAGGUUUCAUCAGUUGGCAAACUCUGUAGAGAGUUUCGCGGCCUGUUUGCUUGAUCCACUGCGAUAUGAUCAAGACAGGCGUGAAAAAUUUGGUGAUGGAUUGGAUGAGAUAUUGAAAGACGCCAUUCAGCUAAAUCAGAAAAAGGUAGGUGGAAUGAAGAAUAGAACGGCUCAACUUACAUACCCUCUUUCUUUUUUGUAUAAGAAUAUAUUUUAUAAGAAUAUCGA
Molecule: long non-coding RNA, 757 nt
Filed under: Orbicella faveolata
Lineage: Eukaryota; Metazoa; Cnidaria; Anthozoa; Scleractinia; Merulinidae
Description: uncharacterized LOC110050613, transcript variant X2
Source: RNAcentral